Molecule: ribosomal RNA, 258 nt
Filed under: uncultured eukaryote
Lineage: Eukaryota
Description: partial 18S rRNA
Rfam family: Eukaryotic small subunit ribosomal RNA
Source: RNAcentral
GAUGGUAGUGUAUUGGACUACCAUGGCUUUAACGGGUAACGGAGGAUUAGGGUUCGAUUCCGGAGAGGGAGCCUGAGAAACGGCUACCACAUCUAAGGAAGGCAGCAGGCGCGUAAAUUACCCAAUCCUGACUCAGGGAGGUAGUGACAAGAAAUAACGGACCGAAGCCUAUGGUUUCGGGAUUGCAAUGAGUAGAAUUUAAACCCCUUUACGAGGAUCAAUUGGAGGGCAAGUCUGGUGCCAGCAGCCGCGGUAAUA